RNAcentral lists this ribosomal RNA (253 nucleotides) under uncultured bacterium. RNAcentral describes it as "partial 16S ribosomal RNA". It matches the Rfam family "Bacterial small subunit ribosomal RNA", at positions 524 to 776 of the family's 1533-position model. The record is from RNAcentral.
UACGGAGGGUGCAAACGUUGCUCGGAAUCAUUGGGCGUAAAGCGCACGUAGGCGGACCAUCAAGUCGGAUGUGAAAUCCCUCGGCUCAACCGAGGACGUGCAUUCGAAACUGUCGGGCUCGAGUAUGGAAGAGGGUCGCGGAAUUCCCGGUGUAGAGGUGAAAUGCGUAGAUAUCUGGAGGAACACCGGUGGCGAAGGCGGCAUCCUGGACCGGUAUUGACGCUGAGGCGCGAAAGCUAGGGGAGCAAACGGG